RNAcentral lists this ribosomal RNA (351 nucleotides) under uncultured prokaryote. RNAcentral's name for it is "bacterial SSU rRNA". It matches the Rfam family "Bacterial small subunit ribosomal RNA", at positions 26 to 352 of the family's 1533-position model. The record is from RNAcentral.
AGAACGAACGCUAGCGGCGUGCCUAACACAUGCAAGUCCAACGUGAAAGGGGAGCAAUCCCCCGGUAGGGUGGGCAAACGGGUAGGAGUAAGACAUGGGUGGAUCUACCUUAGGGAGUGGGGAGUAUCCUUCCGAAAGGAGGGGCGAAUACCGAAUAUUGUCCGGGACCGGUGAAGGGUUCCGGGGAAGGGAGGCCUCUGAUACAAGCUUUCGUCCUUAAGAUGAGCCCAUGGCCCAUCAGCUAGUUGGUAGGGUAAAGGGCCUACCCAAGGCUACGACGGGUCGCUGGUCUGAGAGGACGACCAGCCACACUGGCACUGAGAUACGGGCCAGACUCCUACGGGAGGCAGC